This 417-nucleotide long non-coding RNA is filed under the name Malus domestica (apple). RNAcentral describes it as "long non-coding RNA (MDOM_LNC010635)". The record is from RNAcentral. Lineage: Eukaryota; Viridiplantae; Streptophyta; Magnoliopsida; Rosales; Rosaceae.
CUUAACCUAAGGUGUUAAUUGUUUUGUAGGUGCAAAAUUGUCCAAGAUCAAGGAGGAAGAAAUUUGCAUCCACAUCCACUAUCAAUCAUUUUAGUCUUUCUGUGCAAAAUUAUGUUAAAUAAGGACCAAAAUGACAAAUAUACCCUCAAUUUAAUAAACAAUAGGCCAAAAUGAUUUGACAAAAAGUAAAGGUAUUUUGGCUGCGAAUACCGUUAGAUGAAGAACGUGCAAACGGCAAAAUUUUAUAUGAUUCUAAGCAGGUAAAGGAGCUGUAACGCAAUUGCACAAAUACAAGGUUUCAUUUUGUCCUUUCAAUACAAACCAUCUUUAUGUGGAUCGUGGAAAUUCUCAAAUCGUAGGUCAGUUUUCAUCAAGUAUUAUUCAUAUUUAAUUUAAAAUAAAAAUAUUUAAAAUGAU